RNAcentral lists this ribosomal RNA (388 nucleotides) under uncultured bacterium. RNAcentral describes it as "partial 16S ribosomal RNA". It matches the Rfam family "Bacterial small subunit ribosomal RNA", at positions 523 to 918 of the family's 1533-position model. The record is from RNAcentral.
AUACGUAGGUGGCAAGCGUUAUCCGGAUUUAUUGGGCGUAAAGGGUGCGCAGGCGGUCUGUUUAGUCUGAGGUGAAAACGUUGAGCUCAACUCAAUUAAGCCUCAGAUACCGGCAGACUAGAGUGCAGAAGAGGGUUAUGGAAUUCCAUGUGUAGCGGUAAAAUGCGUAGAUAUAUGGAGGAACACCAGUGGCGAAGGCGGUAACCUGGUCUGUUACUGACGCUCAGGCACGAAAGCGUGGGGAGCAAAUAGGAUUAGAUACCCUAGUAGUCCACGCCCUAAACGAUGAUUACUAAAUGUUGGGGAAACUCAGUGUUGCAGCUAACGCAAUAAGUAAUCCGCCUGGGGAGUAUGCACGCAAGUGUGAAACUCAAAUGAAUUGACGGGG